Molecule: long non-coding RNA, 389 nt
Organism: Eurytemora carolleeae
Lineage: Eukaryota; Metazoa; Arthropoda; Copepoda; Calanoida; Temoridae
Exons: 3
Source: RefSeq, a predicted model, not a curated record
GGAUAAUAAAAAUCCCUGAAAAUUUAUACAAAGAAUUCGCAAAAAAAUGAAAAAUCACAAAUUGACUCAGUACAGUCUUAAGCGUAUCGAAGGCAAUAAAGAUUAAUUGAAAUAAUGAUCUUUUAUAGAGAUUAAAAUGAAACUUUACCAACGACUAAAAAUAAACAAAACGCCAUAAAUAAAUAGAGGAGACAGAAGAGUUCCAUAGUGAAAACUCGGAAAACGUCAAAAUGAAAAACAUAUCAAAACAAAUAGUUGUUCUGCACCGAAAACAUCUACGAUUGCAUGUUAAAAGUAUGUGCACUGGGAGCACUAGUCUAGAAAAUCCUGUUGCUCCAACACGAAGGUUUCCAGAAUUGGGAAACACCCUGUUUAAACAGCCUUCUCUA